Molecule: long non-coding RNA, 1016 nt
Organism: Fundulus heteroclitus (mummichog)
Lineage: Eukaryota; Metazoa; Chordata; Actinopteri; Cyprinodontiformes; Fundulidae
Exons: 3
Source: RefSeq, a predicted model, not a curated record
UCCAGCACAGAACCAGAACCAGAACCAGAACCAGAACCAGUCCGGCCUUUCUAGUGUCUCCUAAAACUCCUCAAAGGAAAGGAAAAGUGUGCGGGGCCGAGGUCGCCCAUGGGCCGGGCUCUACCAGGUCCCCGUCCAUCACAGAGACAACAGGGACACUUUAGAGACAAAUUCACCCAACAGUCAUGUUGCUGCACUGUGGGAGGCCGGGAUUCAAACCCAGGACCUUCUAGCUGCAGGGCAACAGUUCUCCACCCACCUGGUGAUUGUCUGACCCGUGGAAAGAUGAAACUCUGACACCCUGGAGACGCCAGGCUGGUGGCUGUGAAGAGUGGCUACAUGUAGGCAGCAGUGACCAGGUGUUCCUGGGCCUGGCUCUUCACCUCACAGGUGUGGCGUUCAGGUGCGGCUGACACGCUGCGUUCACCUCACAGGUGUGGCGUUCAGGUGCGUCUGACACGCUGCGUUCACCUGACAGGUGUGGCGUUCAGGUGCGUCUGACACGCUGCGUUCACCUCACAGGUGUGGCGUUCAGGUGCGUCUGACGCUGCGUUCACCUCACAGCAGCAGAAUCUGUAGCGCCUUUCUAAAGAGGAGCCGGCGUUUUCUAUCAGCCGUGCUAGCUGACUGGACCAGCAGCUGCUGACGUCAUCACGCUGUUGUGCUCACGCUGCGUUCAGGUGCGUUCAGGUGCGUCUGACGCUGCGUUCAGGUGCGUCUGACGCUGCGUUCAGGUGCGUCAUCACGCUGUUGUGCUGACGCUGCGUUCAGGUGCGGCUGACGCUGCGUUCAGGUGCGGCUGACGCUGCGUUCAGGUGCGUCUGACGCUGCGUUCAGGUGCGUCUGACGCUGCGUUCAGGUGCGGCUGACGCUGCGUUCAGGUGUGUCUGACGCUGCGUUCAGGUGCGUCUGACGCUGCGUUCAGGUGCGUCUGACGCUGCGUUCAGGUGCGUUCAGGUGCGGCUGACGCUGCGUUCAGGUGCGUUCAGGUGCGUCUGAGCUAACAGCAUGUUCAG